Molecule: ribosomal RNA, 500 nt
Filed under: uncultured bacterium
Lineage: Bacteria
Description: partial 16S ribosomal RNA
Rfam family: Bacterial small subunit ribosomal RNA
Source: RNAcentral
AUUGAACGCUGGCGGCAUGCCUUACACAUGCAAGUCGAACGGCAGCACGGGAGCAAUCCUGGUGGCGAGUGGCGAACGGGUGAGUAAUAUAUCGGAACGUGCCCAGUCGUGGGGGAUAACGUAGCGAAAGCUACGCUAAUACCGCAUACGAUCUACGGAUGAAAGCGGGGGAUCGCAAGACCUCGCGCGAUCGGAGCGGCCGAUAUCAGAUUAGGUAGUUGGUGGGGUAAAGGCUCACCAAGGCGACGAUCUGUAGCGGGUCUGAGAGGACGACCAGCCACACUGCGACUGAGACACGGCCCAGACUCCUACGGUAGGUAGCAGUGGGGAAUUUUGGACAAUGGGCGCAAGCCUGAUCCAGCAAUGCCGCGUGCAGGAUGAAGGCCUUCGGGUUGUAAACUGCUUUUGUACGGAACGAAACGGCGAGCUCUAAUACAGUUUGCUAAUGACGGUACCGUAAGAAUAAGCACCGGCUAACUACGUGCCAGCCGCCGCCGUAA